This 108-nucleotide small RNA is filed under the name human gut metagenome. RNAcentral's name for it is "Ribosomal protein L10 leader". It matches the Rfam family "Ribosomal protein L10 leader". Rfam says of the family: This family is a putative r-protein leader autoregulatory structure found in B. subtilis and other low-GC Gram-positive bacteria. It is located in the 5' untranslated regions of mRNAs encoding ribosomal proteins L10 and L12 (rplJ-rplL). A Rho-independent transcription terminator structure that is probably involved in regulation is included at the 3' end. The record is from RNAcentral.
AAAAUUUGAUAUUUUACCGUAGACAGUAGGGGAGAAAUCUUAAUUAUCCUACCGAGGACUUUUUAAUAAAAGACUUUGGCCUUACUGUUUUAGUAAGGCUUUUAUUUU